This 459-nucleotide ribosomal RNA is filed under the name Bacillus atrophaeus. RNAcentral describes it as "bacterial SSU rRNA". It matches the Rfam family "Bacterial small subunit ribosomal RNA", at positions 418 to 867 of the family's 1533-position model. The record is from RNAcentral. Lineage: Bacteria; Bacillati; Bacillota; Bacilli; Caryophanales; Bacillaceae.
CCGGAUCGUAAAGCUCUGUUGUUAGGGAAGAACAAGUGCCGUUCAAAUAGGGCGGCACCUUGACGGUACCUAACCAGAAAGCCACGGCUAACUACGUGCCAGCAGCCGCGGUAAUACGUAGGUGGCAAGCGUUGUCCGGAAUUAUUGGGCGUAAAGGGCUCGCAGGCGGUUUCUUAAGUCUGAUGUGAAAGCCCCCGGCUCAACCGGGGAGGGUCAUUGGAAACUGGGGAACUUGAGUGCAGAAGAGGAGAGUGGAAUUCCACGUGUAGCGGUGAAAUGCGUAGAGAUGUGGAGGAACACCAGUGGCGAAGGCGACUCUCUGGUCUGUAACUGACGCUGAGGAGCGAAAGCGUGGGGAGCGAACAGGAUUAGAUACCCUGGUAGUCCACGCCGUAAACGAUGAGUGCUAAGUGUUAGGGGGUUUCCGCCCCUUAGUGCUGCAGCUAACGCAUUAAGCAC